RNAcentral lists this ribosomal RNA (486 nucleotides) under uncultured bacterium. RNAcentral describes it as "partial 16S ribosomal RNA". It matches the Rfam family "Bacterial small subunit ribosomal RNA", at positions 28 to 523 of the family's 1533-position model. The record is from RNAcentral.
GAUGAACGCUGGCGGCGUGCUUAACACAUGCAAGUCGAACGGUGAACGAGGGAGCUUGCUCCCUCCGGAUCAGUGGCGAACGGGUGAGUAACACGUGAGCAGUCUGCCCUGGACUCUGGGAUAAGCGUUGGAAACGACGUCUAAUACCGGAUACGAGGCGUGGGGGCAUCCCCAACGCCUGGAAAGAACUUCGGUCCAGGAUGAGCUCGCGGCCUAUCAGGUAGUUGGUGAGGUAAUGGCUCACCAAGCCUACGACGGGUAGCCGGCCUGAGAGGGUGACCGGCCACACUGGGACUGAGACACGGCCCAGACUCCUACGGGAGGCAGCAGUGGGGAAUAUUGCACAAUGGGCGCAAGCCUGAUGCAGCAACGCCGCGUGAGGGACGACGGCCUUCGGGUUGUAAACCUCUUUUAGCAGGGAAGAAGCGAAAGUGACGGUACCUGCAGAAAAAGCACCGGCUAACUACGUGCCAGCCGCCGCCGUAA